Molecule: unclassified non-coding RNA, 338 nt
Filed under: uncultured Diversisporaceae
Lineage: Eukaryota; Fungi; Glomeromycota; Glomeromycetes; Diversisporales
Description: sequence contains 18S rRNA gene
Source: RNAcentral
CCCAACUAUCCCUAUUAAUCAUUACUCCAGUUGCUAAAAAACCAACGAAAUAGAAUCAGUCCGUCCUAUUUCAUUAUUCCAUGCUAAUGUAUUCAGACGAUAGUCUGCUUUAAACACUCUAAUUUUUUCAAAGUAACAGUCCUGAUUUCCCAUCACACCAAAUAAAUGGCAUGAAAGUUCCUCAGAAGGUAGAGAUCCAUCUCACCAGUGCAGACAAUUAAGCCUGACCAAUGGGUAGACCCCGAGGUUCAACUACGAGCUUUUUAACUGCAACAACUUUAAUAUACGCUAUUGGAGCUGGAAUUACCGCGGCUGCUGGCACCAGACUUGCCCUCCAA